This 406-nucleotide ribosomal RNA is filed under the name uncultured bacterium. RNAcentral describes it as "partial 16S ribosomal RNA". It matches the Rfam family "Bacterial small subunit ribosomal RNA", at positions 30 to 526 of the family's 1533-position model. The record is from RNAcentral.
AUUGAACGCUGGCGGCAGGCCUAACACAUGCAAGUCGAGCGAGCGGCGGACGGGUGAGUAAUGUCUGGGGAACUGCCCGAUAGAGGGGGAUAACUACUGGAAACGGUGGCUAAUACCGCAUACUAUCGGAUGAACCCAUAUGGGAUUAGCUGGUAGGGGGGGUAACGGCUCCCCUAGGCGACGAUCUCUAGCUUGUCUGAGAGGAUGAUCAGCCCCACUGGGACUGAGACACGGGCCAGACUCCUACGGGAGGCAGCAGUGGGGAAUAUGGCACAAUGGGCGCAAGCCUGAUGCAGCCAUGCCGCGUGUAUGAAGAAGGCCUUCGGGUUGUAAAGUACUUUCAGCGGGGAGGCGUUACCCGCAGAAGAAGCACCGGCUAACUCCGUGCCAGCAGCCGCGGUAAUAC